CUGCGGUCUCUCCAAAAGAUGCCUUUAUUAACGCUGUGGGGUAGUAAUUUCAGAUCCCCUGAGGUGGUAUUGAGGUCGGGGAAACUCAUUCUGCAUCCAAAACAAGCCUCUCUUGAUCUGAAGAUCCUGCCAGGGCGGCUCCUCCUGCACCGACUCCCAGGGGUGCAAACACACCGAAUUCUGUCCAGAAAAAGAAAUCUCUCUGAAGGUUGCAGGAUGUAGCUGAUGUGCUUAUUCUUUGCCCUUGGUGCAAACUUCUAGUGUGGAUGUAGAGUGCCAUCUUCACCUAAGAAGGUGAAACUGCCCCAUGUCAAUCAUUCAGGAUAGUUUCAGACAUGCGCUCUGGAGGCAGAGUGACUUGUGUAUAAAAGCUGUAUGAACUUGGUCUAGAUGGCUGUUCCAGCGCCAGUCAUCACAUCUGCAUUCCAGCUAGCAGGAAGGAAGAAUGCAAAGAGAAGGACAUAACCUCUCUCUCCAAGGACACUUCUCAGAAGUUAACACACAAUUCUUCUGCUUACAUUCCAUUGGCCAGAACUUGGGCACAUGGCCACAUCUAGCUGCAAAGAGAGGCUGGCAAAUAAAAUCUUUAUUUCAAACAACUUUGUUCCCUACUGAAAAAAGGAGGAGUUUGUUAUUACAGAACUUGGUUUAACAACUGGAGCACUAUUGGCAGGACAGUCUCUUUUGAAUGAGACUGUCUCGUACAUUUUAGGACAUUUACACCACCAGGCCCCAGAUACUACCUAAACGCUGGUAGCACCCUCCCAGUGACUGUAUCAACCCAUGCUCCUACAAUUUAAAGUUAACCUUGGGGGUAGCACUGUCUUUGAAUUUUAGGUUUCUGUGGCAGGCAUUUUGCCUGCCCAGCAAGCAGUAUAUACCUUGCCAGGGAAAUACUCCUUCCCAUAGCCAUGUUUUGGAUAGCCAUCUUCUCAUGUGACUCUUUUUCUAAUAACAGAGAUGAGAAAACAGGUCAGCAUCUGACCCAGAGAAGGCCAAAUAAAAUCUUCUAACAGGUUUUUAAAAAUUAGACCUAGGUGAAGAGUUUUAAUUUCUUCCUGGGUGGAGGUA
This 1071-nucleotide long non-coding RNA is filed under the name Equus asinus (donkey). RNAcentral describes it as "lncRNA (ENSEASG00005028522.1)". Lineage: Eukaryota; Metazoa; Chordata; Mammalia; Perissodactyla; Equidae. The record is from RNAcentral.